GCCAACACACACGUCGUUUUCAUUUGAAGGCGAGGCGGCAAAAAGAGGCGAGGAGAGCCGAGUGAGGAGGUGAGAGUGACGGGGAGGUUUGUGGGGCAAACUGCGCUGCGCUCUGCGGAGAGGCGAAACAAAAGCAAAGAUUAAAAGUGGAGAAACUGAAGGCCUUAAUGCUCCCAGAGGAGCGGGGGAGGAGGAGGAGGAGGCGGAGGGGAGACACACCCGAGAGCCACUUUCACACGUCUGACCUUUGACCUGUGAGCUGAUAAUCCUACGGAGCUCGUUCAAGAUGCAGAGACACGCUCAGAAAACAGAGGUCCUGAAAUCCGCAGAUGCCUCAGCCGCUCAUCAUCAUUAUGCAUCGUCCUCACACACAAGGUAAAUCAUCAUGAGCCACAAAACAUCUCAAGACCAGGUGAAAGCCUGAGUUUAUACAAUUUGUUCCUGAAACAUGUUGUUCAUUAUUUGUCUUUGUCCAAAUAAUGAAUAAAUACAUUUGCAUGGGGAAAAAAAAAGACAGAAAAUAAUGUGGCCAGGUAUGAUCACUCAUUACUGAUAUUACUAGUUGUGUUUAUAUUUAUUAAUUUCCCAAAUAAAUCCCACAUGAUAUCAAUCAUUUACAGAUACAAAUAGUUGUUAUAAACAGCCAAUCAGAUCAUUGGAAAACCAGAGUCAUCACCCUAUGGAUCUUUUGUUAAAAUUCUUCUACUUAUUUAUGUUAUAUCCUUGUACCUCAGCAUUAUUUCUAUCCUAUUCCUAUGUGGACUUCAGAGUAAUUACCAAAACACUGCGGUACCUCUACAUGACACAUGCCCUCACCCCUCUGCUACUCUGUGCCUUGUCAUAAUCAUCCUGCCUAACAUCCAGAGUUUCUCCUCUUGGCAUUUUCCACAAUACACCAACCUUUUACAGCUUUUACCUAUAGCACAAUGUUGCUGUUGUGUUUUUUUUUAAUGUCUGAGAAGCAGAAUUGAGUGGAGCUGAUUGGCGUGAACUCCUUUGACAACGGCUUGAGUGAAAGUGGCAUUUAUGUAUAUUUAAAAGUUAUGCAGAUCAAACGGCAGAAGAGGCAGCGGGUCAGCGUGUAUCUUUAACAGUUUUCAAUUAGAGGAACAUUUGCAGAAAACUAAAAUCAGUGAGCUGAAAAGAUUCAAAACACGAACGGCUGAAAUCGACCAAACACCGACACGGGGGGAGCCAAGAACAAGAAAGAAGAGGAAAGCGUGGUGUCAGUGCUGAUUCAGCAUUCACACGCUCAGAACUGUUUUACAUUUGUGUGAAAGUAAUGUGAAUAAUAAAAAGGUUUACAGUG
This is a long non-coding RNA of Solea senegalensis (Senegalese sole), 1309 nucleotides long. RefSeq lists it as uncharacterized. NCBI's taxonomy places the organism in Eukaryota, Metazoa, Chordata, Actinopteri, Pleuronectiformes, Soleidae. The record is from RefSeq and is a predicted model, not a curated record. The transcript is spliced from 3 exons.